AGCGAACGCUGGCGGCAGGCUUAACACAUGCAAGUCGAGCGGAUGUAGCAAUACAUCAGCGGCAGACGGGUGAGUAACACGUGGGAACGUACCUUUUGGUUCGGGACAACCCAGGGAAACUUGGGCUAAUACCGGAUAAGCCCUUACGGGGAAAGAUUUAUCGCCGAAAGAUCGGCCCGCGUCUGAUUAGCUAGUUGGUGAGGUAAUGGCUCACCAAGGCGACGAUCAGUAGCUGGUCUGAGAGGAUGAUCAGCCACAUUGGGACUGAGACACGGCCCAAACUCCUACGGGAGGCAGCAGUGGGGAAUAUUGGACAAUGGCGCAAGCCUGAUCCAGCCAUGCCGCGUGAGUGAUGAAGGCCCUAGGGUUGUAAAGCUCUUUUGUGCGGGAAGAUAAUGACUGUACCGGGAGAAUAAGCCCCGGCUAACUCCGUGCCAGCAGCCGCGGUAAU
Molecule: ribosomal RNA, 451 nt
Filed under: uncultured bacterium
Lineage: Bacteria
Description: bacterial SSU rRNA
Rfam family: Bacterial small subunit ribosomal RNA
Source: RNAcentral